GACGAACGCUGGCGGCGUGCUUAACACAUGCAAGUCGAACGGAAAGGCCCUGCUUUUGUGGGGUGCUCGAGUGGCGAACGGGUGAGUAACACGUGAGUAACCUGCCCUUGACUUUGGGAUAACUUCAGGAAACUGGGGCUAAUACCGGAUAGGAGCUCCUGCUGCAUGGUGGGGGUUGGAAAGUUUCGGCGGUUGGGGAUGGACUCGCGGCUUAUCAGCUUGUUGGUGGGGUAGUGGCUUACCAAGGCUUUGACGGGUAGCCGGCCUGAGAGGGUGACCGGCCACAUUGGGACUGAGAUACGGCCCAGACGCCUACGGGCGGCAGCAGUGGGGAAUAUUGCACAAUGGGCGGAAGGCUGAUGCAGCAACGCCGCGUGCGGGAUGACGGCCUUCGGGUUGUAAACCGCUUUCGCCUGUGACGAAGCGUGAGUGACGGUAAUGGGUAAAGAAGCACCGGCUAACUACGU
This 467-nucleotide ribosomal RNA is filed under the name uncultured bacterium. RNAcentral describes it as "partial 16S ribosomal RNA". It matches the Rfam family "Bacterial small subunit ribosomal RNA", at positions 28 to 506 of the family's 1533-position model. The record is from RNAcentral.